RNAcentral lists this small nucleolar RNA (119 nucleotides) under Echinops telfairi (small Madagascar hedgehog). RNAcentral describes it as "Small nucleolar RNA SNORA61 (ENSETEG00000024316.1)". The record is from RNAcentral. Lineage: Eukaryota; Metazoa; Chordata; Mammalia; Afrosoricida; Tenrecidae.
ACCCUUCAGAAUCCUCAUCCAUCAGUUCUGAACGUGGGUCCGAGUGGCUGUAAAAGGAGGAAAAGGAACACUGAAGCAGACUUGGAUUCCCUGUGACAUACCAGUUGGUUAACAAAAGG